ACCAGGGCUAGCAGGGGUCAGGUCAGGGGCAGCUCUGAGGACAGACUGCUUUAAAGUCAGUGUAAAACCUGCCUGUGCCCAUCUCUUAUCAAAGCACCACAGUAAGAAAAUUCCAAAUGGGCCUGUCUUAGCUCCACAUGUGCUACAGACCCAGAAGUCUGUGCUGGUUUCUCCAUUAACUGGGAGGCUCCAACGCAGCCAUUCUGGGGUCAGUUGUGGCAGGUUUGGGUGGUCUCUGGUCACACCGAACGAGGCGCCCCUGGUACGGUCCAUUUGGGGUCAGUUGUGGCAGGUUUGGGUGGUCUCUGGUCACACCGAACGAGGCAACCCUGGCACGGUCCAUUUGGGGUCAGUUGUGGCAGGUUUGGGUGGUCUCUGGUCACACCGAACGAGGCGCCCCUGGCACGGCCCGUUCUGGGCCCGCCCGCCCCCCCCAGCUCUGAGGGGCUGGAGCGGCCGCACAGCGCCCCCUGCUGGCCGGGCUGGGCCUAGGCUAGGCCCAGUCUCAGGCCCAGCCCCAGUCUCAGGCCCAGCCCCAGGCCUCGCCACACAUAGCCCAGCACAGUGCCCUGACACACCUUUGUCACCUGCCGAGGCAGAUGUGCAGUCAGUUGAUGUGGGUUAUAGCAGACACAGGAAGCAAGGCAUCCGGGUGCUCUUAACUACCUCUCUGGGACUGAGAAAUUUGGUAUUGGAAAUACCUUGUUUCUUUUCCCUCAGCAAUCCCUGUUUCAUGUUCCUGCUCUGCAAACCUGGCAGUUUCCCAAGCAGCACACAGGGAAGGCUGCAGGAUCCCUCAUCAGAUUGUGUCACUUCCCUGUAAGACUCGUGUAUGGGAGACUUCGCAAGGCCAGUGACUUACCUGAGAACAUGCUCAUCUACACCUUGAACCAGGUUAGCCAAAACCCCCUCAGACAAGUGUCCUACACCAGCUGCUCCCACACAGAUGCUCCAGGAGCAGCUGAGAGCCUUGGCCAGAAGCCAUGCACAGAGUGCACCUCCCCUCAGCACAGACCAGGGACCUGCAGCACUCACUGUUCUGUACAGACCCCAUGACACCUCCUGCAGCACAGCAGCAGUCACAGCCCCAGCCAAGCUCUAUUGCCAUGAGAUCACGCCUUCUCUCUUGGCUUAAGGCAGCUUCAUCUGCCUUACAAAGCAUCACCGUUGCGCUCUGUGCUCUCCCAACUCCCCUAACAAGUGGGAGAUCGAGGUAUGAGCUGUUAACUAUGUAAAGAAAAUUUCAGUCACCAGCUGAGUUCACCCAGUACUCAGAUUUUAUUAAACAGGCUCUAUACAGUACAAAAACACACUGCUGCAGCAUCCCAGAUACCCCUUCCCCACUUCACAAGCUGCCAGAGAUGAACCACUAAAGCUUUCUGGAUGGCAGGGGAGAGCCAAACCCCGACUCCUCUCCUUACACACAAGGCCCUCCUGUACUUGUCAUUGUUCCAAGGAGAGCCUUCCUUGCUUGUAAUGACAGGGGCAGGAUAACAUGAGUUGUUAGCCAGGGAGUGCA
This is a long non-coding RNA of Pseudopipra pipra, 1519 nucleotides long. RefSeq lists it as uncharacterized. The transcript has 2 exons. Lineage: Eukaryota; Metazoa; Chordata; Aves; Passeriformes; Pipridae. The record is from RefSeq and is a predicted model, not a curated record.